RNAcentral lists this ribosomal RNA (245 nucleotides) under uncultured Syntrophomonas sp. RNAcentral describes it as "partial 16S ribosomal RNA". It matches the Rfam family "Bacterial small subunit ribosomal RNA", at positions 524 to 768 of the family's 1533-position model. The record is from RNAcentral. Lineage: Bacteria; Bacillati; Bacillota; Clostridia; Eubacteriales; Syntrophomonadaceae.
GACGUAGGGGGCGAGCGUUGUCCGGAAUUACUGGGCGUAAAGAGCACGUAGGCGGGUGUUUAAGUCAGGUGUGAAAUACCGGGGCUCAACUUCGGGGCUGCACCUGAAACUGGAUAUCUUGAGGGCAGGAGAGGGCAGUAGAAUUCCUGGUGUAGCGGUGAAAUGCGUAGAAAUCAGGAGGAAUACCAGUGGCGAAGGCGACUGUCUGGACUGACCCUGACGCUGAGGUGCGAAAGCGUGGGUAG